Molecule: ribosomal RNA, 253 nt
Filed under: uncultured bacterium
Lineage: Bacteria
Description: partial 16S ribosomal RNA
Rfam family: Bacterial small subunit ribosomal RNA
Source: RNAcentral
UACGUAGGGUGCGAGCGUUAAUCGGAAUUGCUGGGCGUAAAGCGUGCGCAGGCGGUUUUGUAAGCCAGAUGUGAAAGCCCCGGGCUUAACCUGGGAAUGGCAUUUGGGACUGCAAGGCUUGAGUGCGGCAGAGGAGACUGGAAUUCCUGGUGUAGCAGUGAAAUGCGUAGAUAUCAGGAGGAAUACCGAUGGCGAAGGCAGGUCUCUGGGCUGACACUGACGCUCAUGCACGAAAGCGUGGGGAGCAAACAGG